GUCGAGCGAAUCGAUGGGAGCUUGCUCCCUGAGAUUAGCGGCGGACGGGUGAGUAACACGUGGGCAACCUGCCUAUAAGACUGGGAUAACUUCGGGAAACCGGAGCUAAUACCGGAUACGUUCUUUUCUCGCAUGAGAGAAGAUGGAAAGACGGUUUACGCUGUCACUUAUAGAUGGGCCCGCGGCGCAUUAGCUAGUUGGUGAGGUAAUGGCUCACCAAGGCGACGAUGCGUAGCCGACCUGAGAGGGUGAUCGGCCAAACUGGGACUGAGACACGGCCCAGACUCCUACGGGAGGCAGCAGUAGGGAAUCUUCCGCAAUGGACGAAAGUCUGACGGAGCAACGCCGCGUGAACGAAGAAGGCCUUCGGGUCGUAAAGUUCUGUUGUUAGGGAAGAACAAGUACCAGAGUAACUGCUGGUACCUUGACGGUACCUAACCAGAAAGCCACGGCUAACUACGUGCCAGCAGCCGCGGUAAUACGUAGGUGGCAAGCGUUGUCCGGAAUUAUUGGGCGUAAAGCGCGCGCAGGUGGUUCCUUAAGUCUGAUGUGAAAGCCCACGGCUCAACCGUGGAGGGUCAUUGGAAACUGGGGAACUUGAGUGCAGAAGAGGAAAGUGGAAUUCCAAGUGUAGCGGUGAAAUGCGUAGAGAUUUGGAGGAACACCAGUGGCGAAGGCGACUUUCUGGUCUGUAACUGACACUGAGGCGCGAAAGCGUGGGGAGCAAACAGGAUUUAGAUAC
Molecule: ribosomal RNA, 742 nt
Filed under: Bacillus sp. FJAT-17866
Lineage: Bacteria; Bacillati; Bacillota; Bacilli; Caryophanales; Bacillaceae
Description: bacterial SSU rRNA
Rfam family: Bacterial small subunit ribosomal RNA
Source: RNAcentral